CCUUACAGAACAAAGAUAGAGAUGAUGGAUAAAUCUGACUGCACACUGUCAUCUGCAGGACCUCUAGGACCUGGAUAUGUGAAGUGAACUUGAAUCGACUUUUAUCUCUCAGAGAGGGUGGCGGGGUAAUUUUGUUGGUUUGUUUCCAUUUUCAAAUUCUAUAUUCAUAUGGUUCUGUACUAUAGUAACCAAAUAAAAUAUAAUUAAAAACA
Podarcis muralis (Common wall lizard) is the source of this 212-nucleotide non-coding RNA. The record is from RefSeq and is a predicted model, not a curated record. Lineage: Eukaryota; Metazoa; Chordata; Lepidosauria; Squamata; Lacertidae.